RNAcentral lists this ribosomal RNA (468 nucleotides) under uncultured bacterium. Its description in RNAcentral is "partial 16S ribosomal RNA". It matches the Rfam family "Bacterial small subunit ribosomal RNA", at positions 28 to 507 of the family's 1533-position model. The record is from RNAcentral.
GACGAACGCUGGCGGCGUGCUUAACACAUGCAAGUCGAACGGAAAGGCCCUGCUUUUGUGGGGUGCUCGAGUGGCGAACGGGUGAGUAACACGUGAGUAACCUGCCCUUGACUUUGGGAUAACUACAGGAAACUGGGGCUAAUACCGGAUAGGAGCUCCUGCUACAUGGUGGGGGUUGGAAAGUUUCGGCGGUUGGGGAUGGACUCGCGGCUUAUCAGCUUGUUGGUGGGGUAGUGGCUUACCAAGGCUUUGACGGGUAGCCGGCCUGAGAGGGUGACCGGCCACAUUGGGACUGAGAUACGGCCCAGACUCCUACGGGAGGCAGCAGUGGGGAAUAUUGCACAAUGGGCGGAAGCCUGAUGCAGCAACGCCGCGUGCGGGAUGACGGCCUUCGGGUUGUAAACCGCUUUCGCCUGUGACGAAGCGUGAGUGACGGUAAUGGGUAAAGAAGCACCGGCUAACUACGUG